UGGGGAAUUUUGGACAAUGGGCGAAAGCCUGAUCCAGCAAUGCCGCGUGUGUGAAGAAGGCCUUCGGGUUGUAAAGCACUUUUGUCCGGGAAAGAAAUCCUUGGCUCUAAUACAGUCGGGGGAUGACGGUACCGGAAGAAUAAGCACCGGCUAACUACGUGCCAGCAGCCGCGGUAAUACGUAGGGUGCAAGCGUUAAUCGGAAUUACUGGGCGUAAAGCGUGCGCAGGCGGUUUGCUAAGACCGAUGUGAAAUCCCCCGGGCUCAACCUGGGGAACUGCAUUGGUGACUGGCAGGCUAGAGUAUGGCAGAGGGGGGUAGAAUCCACGUGUAGCAGUGAAAUGCGUAGAGAUGUGGAGGAAUACCGAUGGCGAAGGCAGCCCCUGGGCCAAUACUGACGCUCAUGCACGAAAGCGUGGGGAGCAAACAGGAUUAGAUACCCUGGUAGUCCACGCCCUAAACGAUGUCAACUAGUUGUUGGGGAUUCAUUUCCUUAGUAACGUA
RNAcentral lists this ribosomal RNA (503 nucleotides) under uncultured bacterium. Its description in RNAcentral is "partial 16S ribosomal RNA". It matches the Rfam family "Bacterial small subunit ribosomal RNA", at positions 355 to 850 of the family's 1533-position model. The record is from RNAcentral.